RNAcentral lists this long non-coding RNA (451 nucleotides) under Dasypus novemcinctus (nine-banded armadillo). RNAcentral describes it as "lncRNA (ENSDNOG00000051526.1)". The record is from RNAcentral. Lineage: Eukaryota; Metazoa; Chordata; Mammalia; Cingulata; Dasypodidae.
UUUUGAAGAGAAGAUUCUCUGCUUAUCUUCACACAUGUAGAUAUUUAGGGGUCUCUGAAAGUGCUGAAGACCAGAGCCCACUGGAAGCUGGUAGAUGACUUGGUGGUGAGAUACCAUUGAAUUGAAGCCAUGUAGGUGGAAAGAAUCUACAUUUCUUUCAACAGCUGGAGGAUGCAAAAGUCCCCGGAAGCAGUGUGGCCCUGAGUCUUCUGGAAUCUGGUAGAAUUGACAGGGGAUGAAUGCCACGUAACGGGAAAACAAUACACCAUGUGUUUACUACCCCAAGAUGUAAGGAAAUCCCUGGGAGAUCGUGGCCAAGAGUCUUGAGAAUCUUGGACAUGUCUCACAGAGGUGGAGAUGCCAUCGAAUGGAAGCCAUUCAGGUGGAAGGAGUGUAUGUUCGUUUUAACAUCCGGAUGUGCAUUAAAUUUUCUGGAAGCAGUGUGGCCCUG